RNAcentral lists this non-coding RNA (29 nucleotides) under Bombyx mori (domestic silkworm). Lineage: Eukaryota; Metazoa; Arthropoda; Insecta; Lepidoptera; Bombycidae. The record is from RNAcentral.
UAGUCUAUCAAAAUGUUCACUACAUGGUC